RNAcentral lists this transfer RNA (87 nucleotides) under Acholeplasmatales bacterium. Its description in RNAcentral is "tRNA-Leu". It matches the Rfam family "tRNA". Rfam says of the family: Transfer RNA (tRNA) molecules are approximately 80 nucleotides in length. Their secondary structure includes four short double-helical elements and three loops (D, anti-codon, and T loops). The record is from RNAcentral. Lineage: Bacteria; Bacillati; Mycoplasmatota; Mollicutes; Acholeplasmatales.
GCCCGAGUGAUGAAACUGGUAGACGUACUGGACUCAAAAUCCAGCGAGGUUAAACUCGUGUCGGUUCGAAUCCGAUCUCGGGCACCA